AGGUGGGCACUCCUGAGAUUGCAGAGCGGAAGAGACCACCAACACUGCCCACCCCUGCCCACAUCCCUGGCCCAAGAGGAAACUGUAUACGGCCUCUGGGUUCCUGGAGAUUAGGGCACAGGAGCAGCAGGUCCCCUGCAUCUGAGACACCGCCGGAACCUGAAGGGAUCAACCAGAUAAACAGUUCUCUGCACCCAAAUCCUGUGGGAGAGAGCUAAACCUUCAGAGAGGCAGACACGCCUGGGAAACCAGAAGAGACGGCACUCUGCCCACAUUACUGAUUCCAGAGGAAAACGCCAAACACCAUCUGGAACCCUGGUGCACGGAAGCUCCCGCAAAGGGCAGCACAGAUCUUCCUGGUUGCUGCCCCCACGGAGAGCUCAUAAGCAACACCCCACGAGCAAACUUGAGCCUCGGGACCACAGGUAAGACAAACCUUCCUACUCCAAGCGACCUGCCUGGUGAACUCAAGACACAGGCCCACAGGAACAGCUGAAGACCUGUAGAUAGGAAAAACUACACGCCCGAAAGCAAAACACUCUGUCCCCAUAACUGGCUGAAAGAAAACAGGAAAA
RNAcentral lists this long non-coding RNA (575 nucleotides) under Rattus norvegicus (Norway rat). Its description in RNAcentral is "long non-coding RNA NONRATT024161". The record is from RNAcentral. Lineage: Eukaryota; Metazoa; Chordata; Mammalia; Rodentia; Muridae.